RNAcentral lists this ribosomal RNA (864 nucleotides) under uncultured bacterium. RNAcentral's name for it is "bacterial SSU rRNA". It matches the Rfam family "Bacterial small subunit ribosomal RNA", at positions 8 to 877 of the family's 1533-position model. The record is from RNAcentral.
AGAGUUUGAUCCUGGCUCAGGACGAACGCUGGCGGCGUGCCUAACACAUGCAAGUCGAGCGGAGAUAUACUGAAGAGUAAUCAGAUGUAUAUCUUAGCGGCGGACGGGUGAGUAACGCGUGGGCAACCUACCUCUAACUGGGGGAUAACACUGGGAAACUAGUGCUAAUACCGCAUAACAUAUUUACAGGGCAUCCUGUAGAUAUCAAAGGAGCAAUCCGGUGAGAGAUGGGCCCGCGUCCAAUUAGCUAGUUGGUGAGAUAACAGCCCACCAAGGCGACGAUUGGUAGCCGAACUGAGAGGUUGAUCGGCCACAUUGGGACUGAGACACGGCCCAGACUCCUACGGGAGGCAGCAGUGGGGAAUAUUGCGCAAUGGGGGAAACCCUGACGCAGCAACGCCGCGUGAAGGAUGAAGGUUUUCGGAUUGUAAACUUCUUUGAUGAGGGACGAACAAGAUGACGGUACCUCAAAAACAAGCCACGGCUAACUACGUGCCAGCAGCCGCGGUAAUACGUAGGUGGCGAGCGUUGUCCGGAAUUACUGGGUGUAAAGGGCGUGUAGGCGGGGAGACAAGUCAGAUGUGAAAUACCGAGGCUUAACUUCGGGGCUGCAUCUGAAACUGUUUUUCUUGAGUGUCGGAGAGGAAAGUGGAAUUCCUAGUGUAGCGGUGAAAUGCGUAGAUAUUAGGAGGAACACCAGUGGCGAAGGCGACUUUCUGGACGAUAACUGACGCUGAGGCGCGAAAGCGUGGGGAGCAAACAGGAUUAGAUACCCUGUAGUCCACGCCGUAAACGAUGGAUACUAGGUGUAGGAGGUAUCGACCCCUUCUGUGCCGCAUUAACACAAUAAGUAUCCCACCUGGG